This 8477-nucleotide long non-coding RNA is filed under the name Homo sapiens (human). RNAcentral describes it as "HSALNT0383893". The record is from RNAcentral. Lineage: Eukaryota; Metazoa; Chordata; Mammalia; Primates; Hominidae.
GUAAUGUUAAGUGCCACAUUCCACAAUGAAAAUAUAGCAAUUAUGAAUAUCUAUACACCUGUAAUUUGAAAAAAACUACAGGAAACUAAAGGAGAAAGAGAAACACACUAAUAAGAGGAAAAUAACAAGGCUGGGUGUGGUGGCUCAUGCCUGUAAUCCCAGCACUUUGGGAUGCCGAGGUGGGCAGAUCACCUGAGGUCAGAAGUUCGAGACCAGCCUGACCAACAUAGAGAAGUCCCAUCUCUACUAAAAGUACAAAAAAUUAGCUGGGUGUGGUGGCGCAUGCCUGUAAUCCCAGCUACUUGGGAGGCUGAGGCAGGAGAAUUGCUGGAACCUAGGAGGUGGAGUUUGUGGUGAGCUGAGAUCAUGCCAUCGCACUCCAGCUUGGGCAACAACAGCAAAACUCCAUCUCAAAAAAAAAAAAAAAAAGGAAAAUAACAAACCACUCUCUGAGUACAUUCAAGUGCCCCCACAAAAAAGUAAGGAUGUAAAAGACCCAAACAAUAUAAUUAAAAAGUAGAUAUUUUGAAUAUAUUCACAUUAUCAAUAUGUAUAUAUAAAUAUCUAUCUAUAUAAACUAUACCCUGAAAAUGGAAGAUGCACCUUCCUCUUAAACAAAUGUAUAGAUUCUUCAUAUAAAUUAAUCAUUUGUAGAGCUCAAGAAAGACCUCAGUAGGUUUCAUAAAGUAGAAAUAUUAGGUACAACACUCUCAGCCCCCAAUGCAAUAAAAUUAGAAAUUAAAAAUAAAACAACAACAAAAAGCCUUUUCACAUGGAAAUUUUAAAACUCUUAAGCAUCUCUUUAUUGAAAGGAGAAAUGAAAAAGGAAAGUACAGACUUUCUUUAAAAUAGUGAUAAUGAAAAUACUACAAAUCUAUGCAAUACACAGAUCAGUAAUCAGAAAAAAAUCAUAACUCUAACACCUAUAUUGAUAAAAACAAAAGAAUGGAAAUAAAUUCUCAAUUGAAAAAUUGAGAAAAAUGACAGCAAAAUAAAGCAAUGACAAAGUUCUAAUAACACUAAAUAUACAUUUCUUUUUCAACCCAGCAAUCCCACUUCUAGAAAUUUAUUCUGAAGAUACAAGAAGGCAAAAAUGCAUAUGCACACAAAUUCAACGGAAGAGUUGUGAUUGUAAAGUACCUCAUAGGAGAUUGGUUCAAUAAGCUAUAGUACACACAAAAAAUGGAGCACUAUGAAGCUGUUAAAAAAAUAAUUAAGAGGAUCUCUGAACUGAUAUGGAACGAUUUCCAGGAGAUUUUAUGAAGCAAAAAAAGUAAUGUUCAGGCUGGGCACAGUGGCUCACGCAAGUAAUCCCAGCACUUUGAGAGGCCAAGGCAGGCAGAUCACAAGGUCAAGAGAUUGGGACCAUCCUGGCCAACAUGGUGAAACCCUGUCUCUGCUAAAAAUACAAAAAUUAGCUGGGCGUGGUGGUGCACGCCUAUAGUCCCAGCUAUGCAGGAGACUGAGGCAGGAGAAUCUCUUGAACCAGGGAGGUGGAGGUUGGAGUGAGCCAAGAUCACGCCACUGCACUCCAGCCUGGCAACAGAGUAAGACUCCGUCAAAACAAACAAACAAACAAAAAAAAAACAGUAAUGUACACAUGUAGUAUGUUACAUGUUGUAUAAGAAAAAAGAGAAAAUGAAAACAUGCAUAUAUCUGCUUAUCAUCACAAAAAGAAACAGAAAAUAAACUAGAAAACAAUGAAUUUGGUUAUCUACAAGUAGAUAACCAAGAGAUAAAGGUCCCGACCUCUAAUACCUUUCCUCAUUAAAGGGUUCCUGGCAGAAAGGCCUAUUCCAGAGCUGGGACAUUGACUUAGUCCAUUUAUGUUGCUACAAGGAAAUACCUGAGGCUGGAUAAUUUACAAAGAAAAGAGGUAUAUUUGGCUCACACUUCUGCAGGCUGUACAAGAAGCAUGGUGCCAGCAUCUGCAUCUGGUGAGGGUUUCAGGAAUCUUCCACUCAUGGCAGAAGGCAAAGGGGAGCCCACAUGUACAAAAGUCACAUGACAGGAAAGCAGAAGCAAGAGAGAGGGGAGAGAUGUGAGGCUCUUUUAAAUAAUUAGUUCUCACAGGUGCUAAGAGUGAGGACUCAAUCAUUACUGUGAGGACAGCACCAAGCCAUUCAUAAGGCAUCUGUCGAGGACGGCACCAAGCCAUUCAUAAGGGAUCUGUCGAGGAUGGCACCAAGCCAUUCAUAAGGGAUCUGUCCAGGACGGCACCAAGCCAUUCAUAAGGGAUCUGUCCAGGACGGCACCAAGCCAUUCAUAAGGGAUCUGUCCAGGACGGCACCAAGCCAUUCAUAAGGGAUCUGUCCAGGACGGCACCAAGCCAUUCAUAAGGGAUCUGUCCAGGACGGCACCAAGCCAUUCAUAAGGGAUCUGUCGAGGACGGCACCAAGCCAUUCAUAAGGGAUCUGUCGAGGACGGCACCAAGCCAUUCAUAAGGGAUCUGUCCUCAUGAACCAGACACCUCCCACUAGGCCCCACCUGCAACACUGGGGGUGAAAUUUCAACAUGAGACUUGGAGGGGACAGAUAUCCAAAUGAUAUCAGACAUGUAAGUUCAAGAUAAGCGUAGAGCACUUUGUUUUGCUGGAAAUUAACAAAGCGCUCUCCACAAAAAUGAUGGGAACAUGAUACAAGGGCACAGGAACCAGCUUGAAGGGAUCCCACCAGCCAAACCAAUUGAACUUCAAAAAUAAUUAAGUAAUGAAUUGUAAACCAUUAAAAAAUAUGGGAACUCACAAGUCCAACCAAUAAUAGAAAAAAAUGGGAAAGAAGCCAGAGCUCAGUUUAUAGUCUAUGCCAUGGACUAAAUGGCAAACACAGGUAAAUGGGAAAUUAGAAAACCAUCACUUUGCCACCUUCAUAGUAAGGACUGGAUCAGACAAGAAUCAUCAUGCUCAAUCUAGGGGGCAGUGCUGAAAAGCAGCAGGAUACUGGCAUGGACAUAAAAUGUUCCCCCACAGGCUGUUAACCAGUUGCAAGGGAGAAAACAAAAAGUAAUUAUACAAUGGAGAAAUCAGGCAAUAUCUUGAUCAGGUGAUCAAAAUGAACAUCACCUAUGAGGAACAGGUGGACUUUAUGUACCUCCAGAUGUGAUAUUCUAAAGAAGGUAUAACACCCCUGUACAGAAUUUAUACCAAGAAUACAUAACCCCAAUCUAAUCACAAGGAAACAGCACAUAAACACAAAAUGAGGAACGUUUGUUUUUAACGGUGGAGGGGAGAAACUGAAUUCUUCAAAAAUGUUUAUAUAAUGAAAGACAAAAUCUGGAAUGCUCCAGAUUAAAUGGUACUAAAGUCAUGAUGAUUAAAUGCAAUACCUUACUCCAGAUUGGAUCCUGGAAGGGGUAAAAUUGCUACAAAGAACACUAUUAGACAAACUGACAAAAUUGGAAUACAGAUGGUACAUUAGAUAAAAGUAUUGUUCAUGUAAAUUUAUGAAGUUGAUAAUUGUUCUAAAGCUAUAUGAGAUCUCCAUCCUUCGUAAAAAUAAGCUAAAGUAUUUAGUUAUGAUGUAUGUAACUCAUGUUCAAAUGGUUCAGAAAAAAAAUUAUAGAAGGAGAGAGAACAAAUGUUAAAGCAAAGGAUAAAAUGUUUGCCUCAAACAUAAGCUUCUUAAAACAUCCGUAAGAUUAUGUUUACUCCCCUGGGUAAAACCAUCAGGAGCUUUCUACUGCAAAUAAAGUAAAAUCCAAAUUCUUUAUCAGGACCUACCAGGCCAGCAAGAUCGAGCCUCUGAUGGCCUCUCUUAGAUUAUACCAUGACCCCAAACCCGGCAAACCCCUGUGCUGGUUCAUGGAGCUCUCAGAUCCUCAGAAACAUCCCUCUCUCCUGCCUCUGGGAUUUUACACAUUCGGUGUCUUGCCUUGAUAAUAUCCUCGUCCACUCUUAACGUCUGACUUCUUUUCAUCCUGGCAGUUUUAGCUUAGUGCCACCUCCCCACUCCAUUUAAGGUUGGCCUGCCCCCAUUCUCUCAGUAUCCUUUUCUACUAUAUUGUAACUGUUACCCAACAUCCAGGUGCUUAGGAAGGUUAUAUAAUCUGCAGAGUUCACAUAUCAACCACUUCAAUUGCUGACAAAGCUACAAAACACAUUUCAGUAAAUAAGCAUGUUAAAGAGCCCUUAGAAGACACCAAUAAUGUUAUGACUACUGUAAUCAAUCCAGUAGGAAAUAAAAAUGUUUGUUACUGCUCAAUUGCAGCUUACAGUUAAAACAAUACUCUUCAAAAUAUUUUCAGGAGCCUCUAGUUUAAGAAAGUUACUAUGGCUUGGGUGUACAAUCACUACAACUGAUACCUAGCAGAAUGACAACAAUUAAGGCACAGGAAGAAGUUCCAGACAUUGUCCAAUUUCUCAUUGCUACCUUGUUUUCUUAGGAACUUACAACUUCAGACAAGAGAACAUUAAUGCAUUAAUGAGGCUACCAAAAAGAAAAAGAAAAAAAACACAUAGGCAGUGUUGCUACACAUGGAUUAUAAAAUUAUACAUUCCAGUCAUAGUCAGUUAAAAGUACAUAAGCAAAUGUGAUCUAGCAGACAGAGCCUGGGAAUCUAGAUGACCUUGGAUAUCGAAUCUAAUUCCCUGAGUUUGAGUCUCCCCAUCUGUAAAACAAAGAAAUGAAAACUUUCCCAGAAUGGUAAAGAUUAACUGAAACCUGUGAAAACACUGGAUACUUAGUUGGCUUGUAAGUGUCUGUCUAAAAAAUAAUAAUUCACUAGGAAACUGCAAAGAAUAACUGUAAAUUUCCAAAUUUAAGUCGAAAUUGUGUUGUAAGCAUAUUUACUUUAAGCAAGUAACGUAAACUAUGUGCACAAGUAUGGUUUUCGUUGUUUAAAAUGAUUUUCAAUGUAUAAGGUGACUCAAAUGGGAUCUAAUAAGGCACUCACUUCACUUGGUCAGGAACAAUUUCCUGGGUGUCUCUGAUCAAGAAAAGAGAUGAAGAGAAAGAAGCAGGUUUACAAAGGACAAGGAAAGAAGACACAGGAUUAGAAUGGGUUAACAAAGCAAAGAAUAAGCCUUCCCAAAGUGAGCAAUGAAGCAAGUGGAAACAAGGAAAGUUGAACAGUAAAUUUGGAUCCACCAAAAAUCCUCAUGCUUAAAAGGAAGCUCGAAGCCCCAGUGUGGAUUUGUUAUGCACCCAAUACGCUGUUUGUGCUAACUACAUAAUGAAGAUGAGGCGGGGUGAUCCGGACACAGACCUGGACACUCUGACCUCUGGCACAGAAUUGGCUACAGGAGUGCUGGGGGAGAGAGGCAGCAGGGUAGCGGAGUCAUAUCAAGCAACAAGAAACACAAGUUAGUACAUUUUCCACAAAUUUCAAUUUUACUCCCUUCCCUCAUGAUACACACAUACAAAGCAUUUGAAGGAUGGGAAGAAGAAGCUGAGAUCACAGGGAAAAUAGUAAGAGACAUUCAGAAGGGCUGGUCUUAGAGAUUUACUAGUUUGGGGAGGUCAGAGAACAGUAGCAUAUGAAAGAACGCUAAGACAGUUCCCAGGGUUAGGCAUGGGUGACUAGUUUGAUUAUAUCAUUUUGUCCCACUCACAAUGACAAGGAGAAUUACUGAGGGAACACAUGAUGGGGCUGAUAGAGUGCUAGGAGGUGGAUACAUGAAAAUGUAAAUGUCAUCAUUUUGAACACCCAUGGCACUCCAAGUGAGAUUCCCUAACAUAUAUGAUAUACAGACAGAUAUAUGAGUUUGAAACUCUAGAGGUGAAUGCGAAUUUAGGAAUCCCUGGAACACAGGUCAUGACUUCAGUAAUGGGAGUCAAAGAUUACUCAGAGAAAGCACAGAAUGAAAAGAGAAGAAAGAAGUAGGCCAAGGAAGAAGAGAUUGGAGGAGACCAAGGCAGGGUGAUAAGAUCAAAACAGAAGAAAGGAAUCUGAUGGAAGUCCCAUUAGAUUAUCAUGUCCCUUCCCAGAGGAUAGGGACAUGCCUUUUUUGUCUUUUAUACUCAAUUAUCACAGGGCCUGACACAGAAGCCACUCAAUGUUUUUUUAAAUUGGGUUCUACUAUUCACAGUUUGCUGUAUCCACCAGGGGAGAAAAAAGUAUAAACAAGCACAGAUAUGGAUUUUUUUACACUGUGUACUAAAGGGGCCAGAUUAUACACAGUAUUUUAUGCCUUACUUUUUUACUUAAUAUAUCUUAGAAGUUUGCACAUGCUUAUGGAAGGACUGGCUGCAUUUUUUGGUCUACAACAGAAUACUCUAUUAUAAAACUAUACACUAUAAUUUUUAUUUAACCAACUGUUUAUUGGUGGACAUUCAGAAUGGAGGAAUGUUUCAACAAGGGAACAAUCAACAGUAUCAAAAUACUGCAGAGGGGUCAAUUUGGGGACUAAGAGAGGAGACACUGGAUUUGGCAACUAGGAGAUAAAUUUUAGUGCAAUGAUGAAGGCAGAAUCCAGAUUAUAAUGAAUUCAAUGAAAAAAGCUGAAGACAUAUAGAUUAUCUGCUCAAGAAACUAGCUAUGGUAAACUGGCAGAGGCUGUAAGAGUGGGAGGUGAGUUUUCUCCUUCAUGUAAAUAUAUUUACUUUUAUAAACACUAGGCCCAAUUUUAUAUCCUACUUCAUUUAACUUUAUGAACAUGUUUAUGUAAUGUUUUAGUAAAAAAUAACUCAUUUUUGCUAUUAUAAAACUGUUAUCUUUAGAUGUUCAGAAGCAACUUCCUAAAAGGAGGUAGCAAUAACAGAGCUAUGUCUAUCAUUCUUUCCCAUCAACCCCCUUGCUGGAGAAGGAAACAUGUGUCCAUCUAGCUUUUAAUUAAUUUUUACCUCUUAUCUUCAUGGCUCUCCAUAUAAAACUUAACUCUUUUUUUGGUAUAUGUGUAUGUAUAUCUAUAACUAGAGAGAGAGACAGAGAGAGAAGAGGGGGUCUUGCCAUGUUGCCCAGGCUGAUCUCAAACUCCUGGGCUCAAGCAAUCCUUCCACCUUGGCCUCGCAAAGUGCUGGGAUUACAGGCAUGAACCACUGUGCCCAGCCUCAGCCUUAACUCUUAAAAUAUCUUCAAAUCCCUGUUCUUCAUUUCUUAAGAAUAUAUGCGUUUAAACCAACUAUAACUUAUUUUGACAAAAACUGGAGUUAAGACCCAAACUUCCUCAGAUGGUCAGUUCUCCUAAGACUAUUUACAGAAUAAUCUAUCUUUUCCCUAUUAAGUUAAAAUACCACCUUUGUCUUAUAAAAUUCUCAUUAGCAUGACUCUGGUUCUAAACUUCUAUUGCCUUUAUCUGUCUGGCCCAGGGCUAUUCCACAAUAUUUUAUUUAAUAUCUGGUUGAACAAGUCUAUUCUUUAUUAUUUUUUAUUAUUUACUCUUCUACACAAACUUUAGAGUCAUUUUUUCAAGUUCCAAAAAUAAAUCUGCUGGGUUUUUUUUUUUUUUUUUAAGACAGGGUCUCACUCUGUCACCUAGGCUGGAGUUCAGAGGCAUGAUCUCAGAUCACUGCAAUCUUUGUUUCCAAGGCUCAAGUGAUCCUCCCACCUCAGCCUCCUGAGUAGUUGAGACUACAAGUGUGUGCCAUCACACCCAGCUAAUUGUCAUCUACCCGCCUCAGCUUCCCAAACUUUUGGGAUUACUAGUGUGAGCCACUGUGCCCAGCAGAAAUUAUAUUUAUAAAUUAAUAUGAAGACAUGGUGAUAAUUAACAUAUUUAUAAUAUGAAAUCUGCUCAUCCAGGGACAUAGAAUGCAAAUCUUUCAUUCCACUCAGCAAAAUUUUGUCAUGUUCUUGAUAAAAGUCCUGCACAUCUAAGUUUAUUCCUAGGUAUUUAAUUUUUGCUGAAAUACUUGAAAAAAUACUUUAUCACUAUAUCUCCUAUGUGAUUAUAGCUAAUAUUGGGGUAGGCUAUUGAUUUUUCAGUAAUGGGGCUUUUAACCAGCAACCUUAAAAAUUGUUGUCAGUUGGUUCCUUUGGAUAUUUUUAGGUAAACAAUUAUGUCAACUUAAAAUAAUGAUUGUUAUUUUUCUAUAAAGAUUAUGACAUCAUGGGAAAAUACGGUAAAUGCUUUUUUAAAAUUUUUAAUUUUUAAUUUUUUUAGAGAUGGAGUCUCACUCUGUCCCCCAGGCUGGAGUGCAGUGGCAUGAUCUCGGCUCACUGCAAGCUCCGUCUCCCAGGUUCACGCCAUUCUCCUGCCUCAAUCUCCCGAGUAGCUGGGACUACAGGUGCACCAGCCACCAUACCCGGAUAAUUUUUAUAUUUUUAGUAGAGAUGGGGUUUCACCGUGUUAGCCAGGAUGGUUUCGAUCUUCUGACCUCAUGAUCCGCCUGCCUCGGCCUCCCAAAGUGCUGGGAUUACAGAUGUAAGCCACCAUGCCCAGCCUAGUAAAUGCUUUUUAAAAGAAUAUAAAACUAUAGAGAAUAUGACCUCAACUAUUUAAAAAUAUGUAUAAGGGUUAUGUAUUUUACUAGCAAAGAAAAAAUAUAUACUGGUAGAAAAUAGCCAUCAUGUCAACAGUGAUUAUAUUAGGUAGAAAAAUU